Molecule: ribosomal RNA, 497 nt
Filed under: uncultured bacterium
Lineage: Bacteria
Description: partial 16S ribosomal RNA
Rfam family: Bacterial small subunit ribosomal RNA
Source: RNAcentral
GACGAACGCUGGCGGCGUGCCUAAUACAUGCAAGUCGAACGCUGAAGCCUGGUGCUUGCACCGAGCGGAUGAGUUGCGAACGGGUGAGUAACGCGUAGGUAACCUGCCUGGUAGCGGGGGAUAACUAUUGGAAACGAUAGCUAAUAACGCAUCAUAGUAGAUGUUGCAUAACACUUGCUUAAAAGGUGCAAUUGCCUCACUACCAGCUGGACCUGCGGUGUAUUAGCUAGUUGGUGAGGUAACGGCUCACCAAGGCAACGAUACAUAGCCGACCUGGUAGGGUGAUCGGCCACACUGGGACUGAGACACGGCCCAGACCCCUACGGGAGGCAGCAGUAGGGAAUCGUCGGAAAUGGACGGAAGGCUGACCGAGCAACGCCGCGGGAGUGAAGAAGGGUUUCGGAUCGUAAAGCUCUGUUGUAAGAGAAGAACGAGUGGGAGAGUGGAAAGUUCACACUGUGACGGUAUCUUACCAGAAAGGGACGGCUAACUACGUG